AUACGAAGGGGGCUAGCGUUGUUCGGAAUUACUGGGCGUAAAGCGCGCGUAGGCGGACUGAUCAGUUGGGGGUGAAAUCCCAGGGCUUAACCCUGGAACUGCCUCCAAUACUGUCAGUCUUGAGUUCGGGAGAGGUGAGUGGAAUUCCUAGUGUAGAGGUGAAAUUCGUAGAUAUUAGGAAGAACACCAGUGGCGAAGGCGGCUCACUGGCCCGAUGCUGACGCUGAGGCGUGAAAGCGUGGGGAGCAAACAGGAUUAGAUACCCUAGUAGUCC
RNAcentral lists this ribosomal RNA (274 nucleotides) under uncultured bacterium. Its description in RNAcentral is "partial 16S ribosomal RNA". It matches the Rfam family "Bacterial small subunit ribosomal RNA", at positions 523 to 796 of the family's 1533-position model. The record is from RNAcentral.